This 372-nucleotide ribosomal RNA is filed under the name uncultured bacterium. RNAcentral describes it as "bacterial SSU rRNA". It matches the Rfam family "Bacterial small subunit ribosomal RNA", at positions 525 to 896 of the family's 1533-position model. The record is from RNAcentral.
ACGAACCGAGCGAACGUUGUUCGGAAUCACUGGGCUUAAAGGGUGCGUAGGCGGGCUGCCAAGUUUGAGGUGAAAUCCUCCGGCUCAACCGGGGAAGUGCCUUGAAUACUGGCGGUCUGGAGGGAGGUAGGGGCGUGCGGAACUAACGGUGGAGCGGUGAAAUGCGUUGAUAUCGUUAGGAACUCCGGUGGCGAAGGCGGCACGCUGGACCUUUACUGACGCUGAGGCACGAAAGCCAGGGGAGCGAACGGGAUUAGAUACCCCGGUAGUCCUGGCCCUAAACGUUGAGAACUAGGUAGUAGGCCGGACAUGGGCUUACUGCCGGAGCAAAAGUGCUAAGUUCUCCGCCUGGGGAGUAUGGUCGCAAGGCUG